AGUGAACGCUGGCGGCAGGCCUAAUACAUGCAAGUCGAACGGCAGCACAGUAAGAGCUUGCUCUUACGGGUGGCGAGUGGCGGAAGGGUGAGGAAUACAUCGGAAUCUACUUUUUCGGGGGGGAUAACGUAGGGAAACUUACGCUAAUACCGCAUACAUCCUACGUGUGAAAGCAGGGGAUCUUCGGACCUUGCGCGAUUGUAUGAGCCGAUGUCGGAUUAGCUAGGUGGCGGGGUAAAGGCCCACCAAGGCGACGAUCCGUAGCUGGUCUGACAGGAUGAUCAGCCACACUGGAACUGAGACACGGCCCAGACUCCUACGGGAGGAAGCAGUGGGGAAUCUUGCACAAUGGGCGAAAGCCUGAUCCAGCCAUACCGCGUGGGUGAAGAAGGCCUUCGGGUUGUAAAGCCCUUUUGUUGGGAAAGAAAAGCAGCAGGUUAAUACCCCGCUGUUCUGACGGUACCCAAAGAAUAAGCACCGGCUAACUUCGUG
This 492-nucleotide ribosomal RNA is filed under the name uncultured bacterium. Its description in RNAcentral is "partial 16S ribosomal RNA". It matches the Rfam family "Bacterial small subunit ribosomal RNA", at positions 29 to 507 of the family's 1533-position model. The record is from RNAcentral.